UCUGCCCUGAUUCACCCUGGAAGCCUCAUCCCCUCCGCUUGGACAAACAUCUGGCUCCGUUUCCAAGCAGAAGCACUUCUGAGCUGACCAGUCCGACUAGCUCGCUCCCCGGAAGUCAUCAGGCCCCCAAGGGAAGUGGAUGGGAGCCUACCAGGCCAGAAUGCCUUGGCUGAGGCAGCGCCUUCAGCGGAUCCACAGUGAAGCCCAGUACUCAUCAGGAACGCACACAGGUAACAGAGAUGUGUGACCUAACACGUUUUCACAAGGGAGUCUACAGUGUGGGAGGCACUGAGAUCAGCAUGCACAGUUCCAGAUUCCAGCAGCUUCCUGUGUGUCCCUUGUAAGUCAUUGUUUUCAUCAAGGAUAGCUCUUAUCUUCUGCCGCUAUUGCUCCUGGUGGCCUCAGUCUACUCAAGGAUUUGAUCAUUCAUGAUAGGACUCUCACUAAGCUUGGAGUUCACAACCGAGUCAGGCUGACCAGCCAGCGAACUCCAGGGAUAUGACUGUUUCUGCCUAGAGCACAGUCACAGGCAAACUUUACAGGACCUCAGUUUGUAUACAGGUACUGAGAACUGAAACUCAGGUCUUCCUUUUGGCAUGGCAGCUUCUCACCAACUGAACCAGCCCUCUAGAUCUCUGUGUGAGUUC
Long non-coding RNA from Alexandromys fortis (reed vole), 647 nucleotides. RefSeq lists it as uncharacterized. The transcript has 4 exons. NCBI's taxonomy places the organism in Eukaryota, Metazoa, Chordata, Mammalia, Rodentia, Cricetidae. The record is from RefSeq and is a predicted model, not a curated record.